GCAGAGUAUAAACUCUCUAAACCAUUGUGAACUAACUGUAGUCCGUUGCUUCGGGGUAGCCCACGGGACGUGCUCCUAGCGGUGCCGCCGGAGGACCACUAAACUCUUGUUAAUUUGUGGCUCUCUGAGUACUUAUAUCAAUAAGUAA
Molecule: unclassified non-coding RNA, 148 nt
Filed under: soil metagenome
Description: partial internal transcribed spacer 1
Source: RNAcentral